CAGCAGCCGCGGGAAUACGGAGGGUGCAAGCGUUAAUCGGAAUUACUGGGCGUAAAGCGCACGCAGGCGGUCUGACAAGUCAGAUGUGAAAUCCCCGGGCUUAACCUGGGAACUGCAUUUGAAACUGUCAGGCUGGAGUCUUGUAGAGGGGGGUGGAAUUCCAGGUGUAGCGGUGAAAUGCGUAGAGAUCUGGAGGAAUACCGGUGGCGAAGGCGGCCCCCUGGACAAAGACUGACGCUCAGGUGCGAAAGCGUGGGGAGCAAACAGGAUUAGAUACCCCCAGUAGUCCCUGUCUCUUAUA
This 301-nucleotide ribosomal RNA is filed under the name uncultured bacterium. RNAcentral's name for it is "partial 16S ribosomal RNA". It matches the Rfam family "Bacterial small subunit ribosomal RNA", at positions 509 to 808 of the family's 1533-position model. The record is from RNAcentral.